Molecule: long non-coding RNA, 10113 nt
Filed under: Homo sapiens (human)
Lineage: Eukaryota; Metazoa; Chordata; Mammalia; Primates; Hominidae
Description: non-protein coding lnc-ZNF852-2:3
Source: RNAcentral
ACUGAAGCUCGCGAGAGGAUCCUGGGGGCAGGCGCGUCGCGGUGGCAGUGUUUCUUGGGUGUGCGGGGCCGGGCGCCCCGUAGCCUCUGGUGAGCGAAAGAGACCGGGGCCGAGCGGGCGCAGGCUUGCCGGGGCUGCGGGCUGCGCUGGCGGCGGGGCCGGGUGGCGGUAGUGGCGGGAGUGACUGGCGGGAAUCCCCGCGGCCCCGGCGCUUGGGCUUACUGUGCACUUGAUGUAAGGGGAAAGUCGCUCGUCAACUGCUUGAAGGGCAGUUUUGCGGUCAUAUUUAUACCCAUUUUUAAUCGCAUGCAGAUUAAGGGGCGGCUUAUGCAGAACUUUCUAGGGAAGGAGUAGUACUUUUGGGUCAUUGGGUCACUGCCAUGGAAAGGUGCAGUAACUCCGGGGUGUUGCCAUGGCAAUGGUAAAUUGACGUGGGCACACUGGUGGGUGUGUCUGAAGGGCUUGUUGUUAGGGUGAACUGGGGACUAGAAAUGGGAUGCGGGCGGGAGGAAAGUAGUGUAGGUGCAGGUGGCAGUCAUAAGUGUCCCAUAAGUCUGAAUGUCUGAAUGUCUGAACUGUGUAGAUUUAAGGAGCAUUAAAGAGGCAAAAUAAUAGCAAGUGCUUGUGUAAUGCUUAGCGUGGGCCAGGCACUGUUCUAAAUGCUUGUUUCAUUUAAUCCUGACAGCAACCUUAUGAGGUAGGUACUAUUAUUCCUAUUAAGAAAAAAUGAGAGGGGUUAAUCUGCCUAAGCGCAAACAGCCCCUAAGUGGCAGAGCCAGCAUGGAAAUUCAGGCCCUGAGGCUUUUUUCAGGCUGUGUUACCAGCUCUUCCUCUCAAAGACGACUUUGAAGAGUAAGGGAGAGAGAGAAGGCAAGGAGCAUUCAAAAAUUGGGAAGACAGUUUGAAUAUUCAUCAGAGAGAUCCUUCCAGGGAGAUACUGAGGACGAGGACUAGAAAUAUAAGGCCAGCAGAAAUCAAGGAUGUAAAAAUCUCCCUAGAGAAGAAAAGCCAGAAAGGUAAAGAAUUUGAUAACUUCUUUAAUCUAAGCUCAAAAAGUAUUUCACAUUCGAGAAUUCACAGGGAGAAGAACAAGGGGCCAGUUUCAGAAGUCAAAAUACAAGUCACAACUUACGAAAGGCUUCAGAGUGUAGCCCCUCUGGCAGCCAGGUUUAGAGAAGCCCUAGCGGGGAAGGGAAGUGCAAAGAGGCAUCAGGGAAGCCAGGCAGGACCCAGAGCAAGGAGAAGGAAGAGAGUUUCCACAGGUGUUGCCUUCAGAGACAGGAGUGCCCUUGACAAGGAAAGAGGGCAACAAAACUACCCAGGAGAGAAACCCUUUAUCUGUAAGGAGUGUGGAAAAGCCUUUGGUCAGAGUGCAAGCCUUAUCGUGCACCAAAGAAUUCACACAGGGGAGAAACCUUUCCUAUGUAAUGAAUGCGGAAAAGGUUUCAGACAGAGAUCACACCUCAUACGACAUCAGAGGAUCCAUACUGGUGAGAAACCCUAUGAAUGCCAGGAAUGUGGGAAUACCUUCAGCCAGAGCUCAAAUCUCAUAGUUCAUCAGGGCAUCCACACUGGAGAGAAAUCUUUUGAAUGUGGUAAGUGUGGGAAAGCCUUCAGCCGGAGUUCAGGCCUCACUGUCCCUCAGAGGAUCCACACGGGGGAGAAGCCAUUUGAGUGUAAUGAAUGCGGCAAAGCUUUCAGUUGUAGUUCAUACCUUAUUGUGCAUCAGAGAAUUCACACAGGGGAGAAACCCUAUCAGUGUAAUGAGUGUGAAAGAGCCUUUGGCCAGAGCUCCCAUCUUAUUCUCCAUCAGACAACUCAUGCCCAGAAGAAACCUCAGCUGGCUACUUGGGUUAGGGCCCACUGUUAAUGGGGCAGAGUUGAAUGGUCAUGUUAUAUGCUUGCCUUCAGCCAGGCCAGCAUCUCAUAAAUACUAGGAAGUAUGUGAGAGGUCAUGGACUGUUCAUUGCUGGAAAUCUGGGUCCACAAACUCACUCUGCUUGUAUGGUGUUUUAUUCACUUGCCUUGUUUUUGUACAUGUGCCUCCAGUCAGAUUUGGAGUUCCAAGAGGUAGAUGCCAGGUCCUGUCUUCCACUUUGAUUGACAGGAAACUGAGGAGCUCUUCAUUUCUACAAAGUUGAUUAAAUUUUAAUUCAUUGAGAACUUCCUCUUAUCAAGAAACUCUUAAUCUGAUAAUCUUGCAAGAUCUCACCUGCUUUGAAGAUUUGUAAUUUUUCCAAUGUAACUCCAGCACAUUAAAGCUUACUUACUUUUCAUUGUUAUUUCAAAGCUUUAAUGUGCUAGAGUUGGGAAGCUUAGAAGGCCCACUGUGAGCAGUACUAAAAUUUAGAAUGUCACAUCCUCAUUCAAAUGUAGGCUGCCUUUAGGAGUGACCAAAACAGCGAAGGAUACAUAGGAUGAUAGAAUCAUGAAUCAAAGGAACCCUACCAGACCAGAACUGCAGACCAAAGUUAACAAGAUGAAGUAUUAAACCCUGUCCAUAGGGCUAAGGAGUCUGAGCCUCUCAGAACAGAAGUGUUCUGUCAGAAACACUGCAAUCCUUGACCAUUAGACAUGCUAGAGGGGUGUCUUUAAAAAUAUCCUUCUCUCUCAUCUUCAGUUGCUAGCUGCUCAGGGAUGAGAUCCUAGUCUUAAGGCCUGUUCUCUUCUCUCUAGACCAUAGAGCUUGACUUUUCCUUACAAGGAAAUAAAACAGAUCAUGUGUGUGUAUAAAAUUAAAAAGUAAUAUCCUAAUCAUCUGCCACUUACACAAAAAGAAAUUUAUUACCUUUAGACUAAAGGAAAAAUAUAAUAGGAAUGCAAUAUGUCUCGGUAUGUGCAGUCAUGUGCCACAUAAUUAUGUUUUGGUCAACAACAGACCACAUAUUUGAUGGUAGUCUCAUAAGGUAAUGGAGCUGAGAAAUUCCUAUGGCCUAGUGACUCUGCAGCUGUCAUAAUGUGGUAGCACAAUGCAUUACUCACAUGUUUGUGGUGAUGCUGGUGUAAAGCUGACCAUGUUGCCAGUUAUAUAAAAGGAUAGCACAUGCAGUUAUGUACAGUGCAUAAUACUUGAUAAAUAAAUGACUGUGUUACUGGUUUAUGUAUUUUACUGUGCUUUUCAUUGUUAUUUCAAAGUGUGCUCCUUCCACUUAUUUUUUCAAAGUUUACUGUAAAACAGUAUGCUGUGUUUGACCAGCAGCAGCCUCAUCUAUCUCAUGUUUACCACAUCUCUUGACUGCAUCAUUUCCUCUUGUGCUUGAUUUAAUCUCAUGUUUUGUUCAUCAUGUCUCCUAAGCAUUCAAAAUCCAUGGCUAAUUUUGCCAGUAAGAGGCCAUGCUGAGUAAUUGACCUGGAAACAAAAUUAAAAGUGAUUAAGGACUGUGAAGGUGGAAAAUCAGGGAUGGUUAUUGCUCACCAGUCAGGCAUGUCCCGUUUUACCAUAGCUGCCAUCCUAAAGAACAAGAGCAAAGUGAUAGAAGCUGUUAAAGGAUCUGCUUCAUUGAAGGCAAUGAGACUAACAAAAAUUUGAGAAGGGCCAAUAUCAGAUAUGGAUAAUAUCUGAUAUUGACCUAGAUUGAAGACCAGACACACAAGCAUGUCCCUCAGCACCAUGACAAUCACAGCUAAAGCAAAAAGCUUGUUUGUUACGUAGAUAGAAAAGGCUGGACCUGACUAUAUUGUUGAAUUUAUUGCUAGCUCUGGGUGGUUUAAAUGAUUCGAGAAUUGUUACUCAUUACACAAUUGUGAAAGUGAGUGCUAAGUCUACAAGUGCUGAUGUGAAGGCAGCUGAAUAAUUUUUGGAAACUCUAGAUAAGCUGAUUGUGGGGGAAAAUUACUUGCCAGAGCAAAUCUUUAAUAUGGAUCAAGGCUCCCUAUUCUGGAAAAAGAUGCCGGAAGGGACUGUCAUCCAUAAAGAGGCCAAGUCAGUGGCAGGUUUCACGGCUUUGAAGGACUGGCUAACAAUGUUUGGGGGCGAUGUUGCUGGCCACAAAUUAAAACCCUUUGUGAUUUGACACAGUGAGAACCCCAGGGCCUUCAAGCAUAUCAGUAAGCACACACUGCCGGUGUACUACAUGAGCAAUAACAAGUCAUGGAUGACCCAGCUUCUCUUCCAAUAUGCCCUCCUGAAUUGCUAUGCCAGUGAAAUGGAGAAGUACUGUUUGGAGAAUAACAUACCUUUCAAGAUUUUGCUUGUUGUUGAUAAUGCUCCUGUACAUCCUUUUAUUGGUGAUCUUUGUUUUAAUAUCAAACUGGUGUUUCUCCCUCUAAACAUCAACUCUUUGAUCCAACCAGUGGAUCAAGGAGUUAGAGCAGUUUUUAAGGCUCACUACCUAAAGCGGACGUUGCCCCAGGCUAUUGCUGCUAUUAUCUGAGGGAGACACUGAGAAGACACUAAUGCAAUUCUGGGAGGAUUACAGCAUCUAAGACUGCAUCAAGAACCUUGCUUAGGCUUAGGGUGAUGUCACCAAUGAGUGUAUGAAUGGCAUCUGGAAGGAGACACUCGAGGUUUGUUCAUGACUUCAGAGGAUUUGCCAUGGAUGACCAGGUUGCAAAAAUCCACAAGGCUGUGGUUGAGAUGGCAAACAGCUUUAACCUGGGUGUGAAUGAGGAUGACAUUGAGGAGCUCCUAGCGGUGGUUCCUGAGGAAUUGACUAAUGAGUUGUUGGAAAUAGAACAGGGACACAGCUGAAGAAGAGGCAAGAGAAAACAAAACUGCAGAAAACCACCAUCAAGAAAAUUUGCAGUAGGGAGUUUAGCAGAAGCUUUUGCAGACCUCAAGAAACUCCUUAAAAAGUUUGGGCCGGGCGCGGUGGCUCACUCCUGUAAUCCCAGCACUUUGGGAGGCCAUGGUGGGAAGAUCACGAGAUCAGGAGUUCAAGACCAGCCAGACCGACAUGGUGAAACUCCAUCUCUACUAAAAAUACAAAAAAAAAAAAAAAAAAGCCUGGGUGUGGUGGCACGCACCUGUAAUCCCAGCUACUAGGGAGGCUGAGGCAGGAGAAUCACUUGAACCUGGGAGGCAGAGGUUGCAGUGAGCCGAGAUCGUGCCACUGCACUCCAGCCUGGGUGACAGAGCAAGACUCAUCUCAAAAAAAAAAAAAAAAAAAAAAUUGAAAACAUGGACCCCAACACCAAAAGGUUUUCAUUAAUAGAGAGGAAUGUUCAUGGUGCAUUAUUUGUUUACUGGCAAAUCUAUGAUGAAAAAAGGAAAUACCAAGCAAACCACCAUGGACAUAUUUCUGAAAAGAGGGACACCUCCUUAAGAAGAGUCCCAGGCAGGUCCUUCAUGGGUAUUUCAGAAGAGGGCAUUGCUAUCAUAGGAGAUGACAGCUCUGUGCAUGUUACUGCCCGGGAAGACCUUCCAGUGGGACAAGAUGUGAAGGUGGAAGAUGAUGAUAUUGAUGAUUCUGACCUGUGUAUGCCUAGGCUAAUGUACUUGUGUCUUAGUUUUUAACAAAAAGUUGAAGUAAAUAAUUUAAAAGAAAAAUGCUUAUAAAAAUAAAAUAUUUUUGUAUAGCAUUACAGUGUGUGUUUUAAUCUAAGUGUUAUUACAAAAGUCAGAAAAUUUUAAAAGUUUAGUAAAAAGUUAACAUUAGGUUAACUUAUUGAAGAAAGAAAUUUUUAAGUAAAUUUAGUUUACUCUAAGUGUACAGUAUUUGUAAAGUCUACAGAAGUGUACAGUAGUAUCCUAGGCCUUCACAUUCACUCGCCACUCACUCACUGACUCAUCCAGAACAACUUCCAGUCCUGCAAACUCCAUUCAUGGUAAAUGCCCUAUAUAAGCAUACUAUUUUUUAUCUUUCAUACCAUAUUUUUACUGUACCUUUUCUAAGUUAUUUUUAGAUAUACAGAUACCAUUUUGCUACAGUUGCCUACAGUAUUCAGUACAAUAAUACACUGUACAAGUUUGUAGUCUAAGAGCAGUGGGCUGUACCACAUAGUUAGGGUGUAGUAGGGUGUAUAUCAUAUAGCCUAGGACUAUACCACAGAGCCUAGGAUGUACUUAGACUUGCCAUCUAGGUUUGUUUGAGUACACUCUAUGAUAUUCACGCAACAAUGAAAUCACCUAACAAUGCCCUUUUCAGAACUCUCCAUUGUUAAGCAGCACAGGACUGUAUUGUAAUGCUGGUUGCUGCCCACUGCUAUGAGUUUAGCCCUCCAAUUAAGUCAGGAACUGGCCCUCUCUUGGGUGUGGAUUUAUAGUCCCCAACACUAGAGGGUCAAUUUUAGAGAUUUUUAACAAACUGGAAGGUUGACUUUCAAAAUGUCUCCAGUUCCUUCUAGGUCAAUUCCAGCAUGAGAUAUACUUUAUCUUUCAAUCACUAGUAGGCAAAAAAGGGGUGCUAGGAAUCAGUCACUGGCUUGACUUCUGGCAACAAGGAAAGCCUGAGGUGAAUUACAGUUGCAACAUCUGUCAGCUCAAACUGCAUGGCGUCCGUCACAAGGAGUUGAAAUUUCAAAGUGUAAUAAUUUUUUUAAGUAUAAGAAUAAAAAAUGUCCAUCCAAAGUAUAAGAAAAUCCUUCUUACCAAAUCCCCCUUCUUUUGGCAAACACCAGGGCCCUUUUCCUUGUUAAAACAGCCUAUUUUAACAAAGGCAAGGUGUAGGGUGUGCACAGAAGCCCAGACAUUCAUGAAAGCAACUGCUAAUCUUGUGUGUUUACACAAUAAGCAUCUGAAAUGAGCUGUGUGACUCCUUGGUUUUGGUUUGCAUGAGACUUAGCAUCUGUGUGAAACUGCUAGUUGUCUUGGGCAGACACCUGGCGAAGGAUUGCAGGCCUGAAAAUGAAGGGAAGUUAAUUUUUUACUAGAACAAAAGUUCUAGUAAAAAGGGUUUUGCUUUGGACAUAAGGGCAAAGCAGAACUAAGUGGUGAAAGGACCAAAACACCUCUGCCUGAAUGGAGACGGUGGCCAGGGAAGUGACCACUGCAGCUGUGCAUGGCUCGGUGUGGGCUACAGGCGGAGUAUCAGGGAGACAGUAAAUUGAAUGGAGCGAUGUCCACCCCUGGUGUGGGCUGUGGUGUCCAGACUCAGCAGCCACUCAAUGCCCACAGCCCAGUCCCUUCUCCACUUACUGCAUACCUAUGGGCAAACUUCUUAAACUCUCUGUGCCUCACUGUCCCUGUCUAUAAAAUGGUGAUAUUAACUAUCUAAGGGAUGCAGUGAGGAUUGAGUAAAACACAUUAAGAAGAGCACUGCACAGAGUAAGUGCUUAGUAACUACUGUAUAAAAUAAAACAAUUAUUAUUAACUUGCUUUCCUGCUCUGAGACAUGGCCUAACAGUAACUUAUCUCUAGGGCAGGUCAGCAGGGGAUAACCUGUACAGCCAGAGAAACUGAAACUACCAGGUUUCUCUGGGGGUGGGUGUUGGGGGAGUCCAGGGACUGGAUGAAGUUAAUGUCUGCUGGAAGGUGGGAAGGGCCAAGGGUUUACUCUGCCACUCAUUUUAGAAGAGCUGCGCCAUUCAGGGAAGUGGCAGAGGUAGAAAUUAGAGAGUAGAGAGAUCCAUGUACUACCAGAGGCCAAGCAGCUCUGGGUAGAGACUGGUCUCUGCCCCACAGAGUUAUUCUUUGAUUCUCCACUCCUUGGCCUGCAUACUGGUUAUUCUUGUCUGCACCCCAGAUCCAUCAUCUACCUCAUUGCCCUGGGGCAGAGAUCCCUGUGGGUGGCAUCACCCUGGGUCCCUUACUUCUGGCUUCCUAGUGGGAUGCACUGGUAUGUCAGAGGGAGGCAUGAGAAUGGGACGGGGUACUUCUGUCUGCUACCAUGGUUCUGGCAGUGGCUGUGUCCCUCUGUAACCACAGCUGCAUGGCUCCAGCUACACCAUUUCCUUCCGUGCCCUUUCAAGCUAGGAGUGGCAGAGGCUCUAGUUCUUGCUGGUAUCUGGUGUCUCCCCAUCCCCUCCCCAAACCUCUGUAAAUCACCCUUUCAUUAAACUCUCUCCUUCCUGCCAGGUCCCAGCAGACUAAUAAUUGCUGGCAACUAGGGGAUCUGGAGAGCUGCACUGUAUAUUUUAUUUACUAGACCAGGCUGCAUGACAUUUUAAGCUAAGCACUGCUUAGUGAUGGGGGAAGCACAAACCUGUUCUUUAUUAACAAAACAUCCACACUGCAAAAGGAGCCAGUGCUAGGAAGGUUUUCAGACUAGCUGUACCUUACAUCUCACACAGCAUGAACAUUAGCAAGCACCCAGAGUGUCACUGGCAUGCCUUCCAUCUAUCAAGCCAAGACAGUACACUGUUCCCAACAUGCUUCAUGCUUUCCAGACAAGUCCUUCUCCUAGACACAACUCCUCUCCCAUCAGGUUUUGGGACUCCUACUCACCCUUCGAGGUUGGCUUGAAUGCCACUUUUUUCAUGAUCCACCCCAAAUCAAAGCAGCAUCCACCCUCGUCUGAACUUCCCUGCAAUUAUCCUCAGCUGUCCUCCCGCUCAGCAUGUUCUGCCUUGUGGUGGUCUUACUUCCCCUGCUGGAUUGUGUUAAGAGAAGGACCAGGUCUCAUUCCCUGUGGGCCCCUUAGUUCACCUAGCAAGGUGCCUUUUACAUAAAAGGUGCUCAGUAAAUUGCUGAAUGAAUGGACAAUGACUAAAGAGCGUCUUUGACCUACUUCAGCUGAGCAAGGUCACCUGUGGUAGGUACCAAAGUCUGAGAAGAACCAACUGGAUUUCCCCACCUGCCUCCCACGUGGUCUCCCUUGUCUCCUUUUCCUCCUCUUUGUCCGUCUACCCUGAGUUCCCAUCAGCUUCAUUCUCCCAACACUUCCCUCCUCCGUCUAUUAGUCCUCAUUCUGACAAUGGCUUCAAAGCUCUGAAAUCACAAGUGGCAGAGAGAAGAGAGCUCAAAGCCCCUCAUGUCCAACUCCUGUCCUGCACAGGUGUGGAAAAUGAUGCUCAGUGGCUUGCCCAGGGUUAACCUGGUACACGAAGCCCAGUACCGUGGGCAGGGCUUGGCCUUGGUUGGUACCACCCACACACCGGGGCUUUUGUCCUGAAACUUCUCACCUCCCCAUGUGCCUGUCAAGCCUGCCACUCCUAGUGACUGUACAGCCAGUCUCUCCCCUCACUGGGGCCCACCUGGAGGCAUUCCUUGUUUGCUUAGUCCCCUCCCUGGGCUGUCCCUCAUCCACCUACUGCCAACCCAUUCUCCCAGAGCUGGCCCACUAAAGCUUCACCCAUUUCCCCUCCCUGCUGAUCUUGCUAUCUCUGCACACAAUUCAGCACUUUAAUCUCAGCUUGUCACCUACUGUCCUUUACUCAUUUGUGUGUUUACUGUGUAUGUAUCUUGUCUCUCCAAAGACACCAGGAGGCCCUUACAGGAGCCUACCUUAGCCUGAGAGCUAGGUUGGUGACAAGGGCUCAGCUUGCUCUCAUGUGGAUUCAGUGCUGGACCUGAAGCCCUGACCCAUCAGCACUGGGCUCUGACCGGGGAAGUUGGCUGGUAUUUCUUCCAGGCAUGCUCCCAGGUACCAGGCACUAGGCAACCAUGAGGGGCCCUUCAGGACAUGCUCUGCCUCUGACUGGUUGGGUCAUCUCAGAUGAUUUGCAAAACUCUGAGUUGAUUUCCUCACCCUGGAAAGGUGGGAGCCCUGGCCGAAGGCCUUUCCAUACUGGGUGCAGCAAUAGGGCUUCUCCCCCGUGUUGCUCUACCAGUGAACCAGGAAGCACGAGCUGCAGCUGAAGGUCUUGCCACCCUAUGGGCACAUGUGUGGCUUCCACCCUGUGUGCACGACUAGGCUUGGUCCCUGACUGAAGGCCUUGCCACAUGUGCCACAGACAAAGGGCUUCUUCCCCAUGUGUACCCUCUGGGGCUAGGUCAGGUGGGAGCUCUGCAUGAAGGCCUUGCCACACUACCCACACCCACACGGCUUCUCCCAGGUGUGGAUUAUCUGAUGCACGAUGAAAGUGGAGCUCUGGCUGAAGGCCUUGCCAUACACAGUAUAUGCUUAAGAGAUUCCUGCUAGGGGCAGCCAGGCUGGAGUUGUGGCAGACCUCUUUCCUGAGUUCCUUAUAGUUCCGGCCCCUCUCUCCUGGGAGACCUCUUUUCUUUUGUUGGGGCCUGCCUGGUGUCUGGCUUGUCUCUCCUCACUUGCUUGUCUGCAGGCUGUUCCGAAUGCC